UUGUGAGGUUAAGCGACUAAGCGUACACGGUGGAUGCCCUGGCAGUCAGAGGCGAUGAAGGACGUGCUAAUCUGCGAUAAGCGUCGGUGAGGUGAUAUGAACCGUUAUAACCGGCGAUUUCCGAAUGGGGAAACCCAGUGUGUUUCGACACACUAUCAUUAACUGAAUCCAUAGGUUAAUGAGGCGAACCGGGGGAACUGAAACAUCUAAGUACCCCGAGGAAAAGAAAUCAACCGAGAUUCCCCCAGUAGCGGCGAGCGAACGGGGAGGAGCCCAGAGCCUGAAUCAGUGUGUGUGUUAGUGGAAGCGUCUGGAAAGGCGCGCGAUACAGGGUGACAGCCCCGUACACAAAAAUGCACAUAUUGUGAGCUCGAUGAGUAGGGCGGGACACGUGGUAUCCUGUCUGAAUAUGGGGGGACCAUCCUCCAAGGCUAAAUACUCCUGACUGACCGAUAGUGAACCAGUACCGUGAGGGAAAGGCGAAAAGAACCCCGGCGAGGGGAGUGAAAAAGAACCUGAAACCGUGUACGUACAAGCAGUGGGAGCCUCUUAAUGGGGUGACUGCGUACCUUUUGUAUAAUGGGUCAGCGACUUAUAUUCUGUAGCAAGGUUAACCGAAUAGGGGAGCCGAAGGGAAACCGAGUCUUAACUGGGCGUUAAGUUGCAGGGUAUAGACCCGAAACCCGGUGAUCUAGCCAUGGGCAGGUUGAAGGUUGGGUAACACUAACUGGAGGACCGAACCGACUAAUGUUGAAAAAUUAGCGGAUGACUUGUGGCUGGGGGUGAAAGGCCAAUCAAACCGGGAGAUAGCUGGUUCUCCCCGAAAGCUAUUUAGGUAGCGCCUCGUGAAUUCAUCUCCGGGGGUAGAGCACUGUUUCGGCAAGGGGGUCAUCCCGACUUACCAACCCGAUGCAAACUGCGAAUACCGGAGAAUGUUAUCACGGGAGACACACGGCGGGUGCUAACGUCCGUCGUGAAGAGGGAAACAACCCAGACCGCCAGCUAAGGUCCCAAAGUCAUGGUUAAGUGGGAAACGAUGUGGGAAGGCCCAGACAGCCAGGAUGUUGGCUUAGAAGCAGCCAUCAUUUAAAGAAAGCGUAAUAGCUCACUGGUCGAGUCGGCCUGCGCGGAAGAUGUAACGGGGCUAAACCAUGCACCGAAGCUGCGGCAGCGACGCUUAUGCGUUGUUGGGUAGGGGAGCGUUCUGUAAGCCUGUGAAGGUGUGCUGUGAGGCAUGCUGGAGGUAUCAGAAGUGCGAAUGCUGACAUAAGUAACGAUAAAGCGGGUGAAAAGCCCGCUCGCCGGAAGACCAAGGGUUCCUGUCCAACGUUAAUCGGGGCAGGGUGAGUCGACCCCUAAGGCGAGGCCGAAAGGCGUAGUCGAUGGGAAACAGGUUAAUAUUCCUGUACUUGGUGUUACUGCGAAGGGGGGACGGAGAAGGCUAUGUUGGCCGGGCGACGGUUGUCCCGGUUUAAGCGUGUAGGCUGGUUUUCCAGGCAAAUCCGGAAAACCAAGGCUGAGGCGUGAUGACGAGGCACUACGGUGCUGAAGC
This 1552-nucleotide ribosomal RNA is filed under the name Escherichia coli. Its description in RNAcentral is "partial 23S ribosomal RNA". It matches the Rfam family "Bacterial large subunit ribosomal RNA", at positions 1 to 1591 of the family's 2925-position model. Lineage: Bacteria; Pseudomonadati; Pseudomonadota; Gammaproteobacteria; Enterobacterales; Enterobacteriaceae. The record is from RNAcentral.